RNAcentral lists this transfer RNA (73 nucleotides) under Bos taurus (domestic cattle). It matches the Rfam family "tRNA". Rfam says of the family: Transfer RNA (tRNA) molecules are approximately 80 nucleotides in length. Their secondary structure includes four short double-helical elements and three loops (D, anti-codon, and T loops). RNAcentral also lists the same sequence under 3 other names. The record is from Rfam by way of RNAcentral. Lineage: Eukaryota; Metazoa; Chordata; Mammalia; Artiodactyla; Bovidae.
UCCCUGGUGGUCCACUGGUUAAGAUUCUGUGCUUCUAAUGCAGAGGACACAGGUUUGAUCCCUGGUAGGGGAA